GUGCCAGCCGCCGCGGUAAUACGGAGGGUGCGAGCGUUAAUCGGAAUGACUGGGCGUAAAGCGCGCGUAGGCGGCGUGAUCAGCCGGUUGUGAAAGCCCCGGGCUCAACCCGGGAACCGCAUCCGGAACUGUCACGCUGGAGUGCAGGAGAGGAAGGUAGAAUUCCCGGUGUAGCGGUGAAAUGCGUAGAGAUCGGGAGGAAUACCAGUGGCGAAGGCGGCCUUCUGGACUGACACUGACGCUGAGGUGCGAAAGCAUGGGUAGCAAACAGGAUUAGAUACCCCGGUAGUCC
RNAcentral lists this ribosomal RNA (292 nucleotides) under uncultured prokaryote. RNAcentral's name for it is "partial 16S ribosomal RNA". It matches the Rfam family "Bacterial small subunit ribosomal RNA", at positions 505 to 796 of the family's 1533-position model. The record is from RNAcentral.